This 788-nucleotide ribosomal RNA is filed under the name uncultured bacterium. RNAcentral describes it as "bacterial SSU rRNA". It matches the Rfam family "Bacterial small subunit ribosomal RNA", at positions 38 to 806 of the family's 1533-position model. The record is from RNAcentral.
AGCGGCGCGCCUAACACAUGCAAGUCGAACGAGAAAGGGCUUCGGCCCCGGUACAGUGGCGUACGGGUGAGUAACACGUAGGUAAUCUGCCCAUGGGUGGUGGAUAACCCCUCGAAAGGGGGGCUAAUACAGCAUGAGACCACGUUUUCGAAAGGGAAUGGGGUCAAAGUCGGCAUAUGCAAGCAAGCUGACGCCUGUGGAUGAGCCUGCGGCCCAUCAGCUAGUUGGCGGUGUAACGGACCACCAAGGCAAAGACGGGUAGCUGGUCUGAGAGGAUGAUCAGCCACACUGGAACUGAGACACGGUCCAGACUCCUACGGGAGGCAGCAGUGGGGAAUUUUGCGCAAUGGACGAAAGUCUGACGCAGCGACGCCGCGUGGGUGAUGAAGGCCCUCGGGUUGUAAAGCCCUGUGGGGAGGGAAGAAUAAGGGUACGUAAAUAGCGUAUCUGAUGACGGUACCUCCUUAGCAAGCACCGGCUAACUCUGUGCCAGCAGCCGCGGUAAGACAGAGGGUGCAAACGUUGUUCGGAAUUACUGGGCGUAAAGCGCGUGUAGGCGGCUAAGCAAGUCGGGUGUGAAAGCCCUUGGCUCAACUGAGGAAGAGCACUCGAAACUGCGUAGCUUGAGUUCUGGAGAGGAUGGUGGAAUUCUCGGUGUAGAGGUGAAAUUCGUAGAUAUCGAGAGGAACACCAGUGGCGAAGGCGGCCAUCUGGACAGAAACUGACGCUGAGACGCGAAAGCGUGGGUAGCAAACAGGAUUAGAUACCCUGGUAGUCCACGCCGUAAA